This 55-nucleotide non-coding RNA is filed under the name unclassified sequences. The record is from RNAcentral.
UGGGAUCCGUCCCAUUGAAAGGAAUGUAGCUUUUUAAAAAAAGCCGAACCUUAGG